Molecule: ribosomal RNA, 118 nt
Organism: Purpureocillium takamizusanense
Lineage: Eukaryota; Fungi; Ascomycota; Sordariomycetes; Hypocreales; Ophiocordycipitaceae
Source: RefSeq, a predicted model, not a curated record
UCGGUUAAGGUUCAUCUAGUGAGCAAGAAACCCCGUUCGCUCUCCCAUAGACAAGCUUAUGAGCGGCAGAUUAGUAGUUGGGUCGGUGACGACCAGCGAACACCGGCUGUUGUAUGUU